Molecule: ribosomal RNA, 1292 nt
Filed under: metagenome
Description: SSU rRNA
Rfam family: Eukaryotic small subunit ribosomal RNA
Source: RNAcentral
AUACAGGGUCCAACGGAUCUUGUAAUUGGAAUGAGAACAAUCCAAACCCCUUAACGAGUAUCAAUUGGAGGGCAAGUCUGGUGCCAGCAGCCGCGGUAAUUCCAGCUCCAAUAGCAUAUAUUAAAGUUGUUGCAGUUAAAACGCUCGUAGUUGAAUCUCGGGCCGGACGGGACGGCGGGCCAUGAGGCUUUAGCUUGACUCGCUGGUCAAAAUCUUUCCGGAGCAGACCGUAUGCACUUAACUGGGUGUGCGGAGAACUCUGCUCCGGACGUUUACUUUGAAAAAAUUAGAGUGUUCAAAGCAGGCGUUUUCGCUGUGAAUAUCUUAGCAUGGAAUAAUGAAAUAUGACCUUGGUUGUGUUUUGUUGGUUUUAAUGACCGAAGUAAUGAUUAAUAGGGAUAGUUGGGGGCAUUUGUAUUUCGUUGUCAGAGGUGAAAUUCUUGGAUUUACGAAAGACAAACUACUGCGUAAGCAUCUGCCAAGGAUGUUUUCAUUAAUCAAGAACGAAAGUUGGGGGAUCGAAGAUGAUCAGAUACCGUCGUAGUCUCAACUAUAAACGAUGCCGACCAGGGAUUAGAAGCUGUUAAUUUGCAUGACGCUUCUGGCACCUUUGGAGAAAUCAGAGUGUUUGGGUUCUGGGGGGAGUAUGCUCGCAAGGCUGAAACUUAAAGGAAUUGACGGAAGGGCACCACCAGGAGUGGAGCCUGCGGCUUAAUUUGACCCAACACGGGGAAACUCACCAGGUCCAGACAUAGUAAGGAUUGACAGAUUGAGAGCUUUUUCUUGAUUCUAUGGGUGGUGGUGCAUGGCCGUUCUUAGUUGGUGGAGUGAUUUGUCUGGUUGAUUCCGUUAACGAACGAGACCUCAGCCUGCUAAAUAGUUACUGGAUCUCACGAUUCAGGGCAACUUCUUAGAGGGACUAUUUGCGUCUAGUGAAUGGAAGUUUGAGGCGAUAACAGGUCUGUGAUGCCCUUAGAUGUCCUGGGCCGCACGCGCGCUACACUGACAAAGUCAACGAGUAUAUAACCUUGCCCGAAAGGGUUGGGUAAUCUCUUAAAUUUUGUCGUGAUGGGGAUUGACUAUUGUAAUUAUUAGUCAUAAACGAGGAAUUCCUAGUAAGUGCAAGUCAUCAGCUUGCGUUGAUUACGUCCCUGCCCUUUGUACACACCGCCCGUCGCUCCUACCGAUUGAAUGUUCCGGUGAAAUCUUGGGAUUGCGGCGACUUAGCUUCACGGCCAGGUUGUUGCGAGAACUUGCUUAAACCUUAACAUUUAGAGGAAGGAGAAGUCGUA